Molecule: long non-coding RNA, 976 nt
Filed under: Equus caballus (horse)
Lineage: Eukaryota; Metazoa; Chordata; Mammalia; Perissodactyla; Equidae
Description: lncRNA (ENSECAG00000027794.2)
Source: RNAcentral
CUCUCUCCCUAAAGCAGCCAGAAGGGACUUCCGGGUAUCUGAGCAUCGGCGGUAUUGUCACUUUCCCUUGGAGUCCCAGGGAGACGUUAUCUCUGGAGGUCAGGAGAUGGGAAGGGAACCAAGGGCUCCUGAGACCUGAGGCUGUGCUGCCUGCACCUGUCCCGCCUCCUCACUUUGCACAAUGAGAUAGCUGACCUUUUCUAUUUCAUCUUGUUUUUUUUCCUGCACCCCACUUGGCUUGGCAACCAUAAAUCCACACCAUUUCCUCCUUGGCAUUUCUUGAAUGUAUCCCGCUCAAAUUAACAACUCAAAAGCAGGAGGCCCGGUAGACCUUGAAAUGUUCCGCUUGCCUUCUGGCCUUGGCAGCUGGCUUGACAGGUCCCACCGGCUCUCCUGGGAGAGUGGGCAGCUGACAAAUCCGGAGGCCCUGAAACCUUCCUUCCAACGUUUUCUCGAACAACUCACAGUCCAGGAGGAGACACAGGCAAAUGACUAUGACGCAGACGUACCAGCGUCACGCAGACGAUUUGGAAUCUGCUCUGAUGCUCCAGGAACUUCUCUGGAGGCCCAGAAACAGCAAGACACAUGAGGAUGUGGACUUCGUGGUCACACACAGCACGUUUCCAGUCCCAACUUUGACACCAAUCUGCUGGAUGAUCUUGGACAAUUUACGUAACUUCCCUGAACGGUUUUCUCCUCUUGUGAUGGUUAGUUUUAUGCGUCGAUGUGGCUAUGCUAUAAUUAGUGUUUAUUCCGUCAACCACUAAUCUAGGUGUUGCUGUGAAGGUGUUUGGUAGACGUGGUUAACGUCUACUAGCUGUUGACUUUAAGUAAAGGAGAUCAUCUCAGUGGGCCUCACCCAUCAGUGAAAGGCCUUACGAGCAAAACAGAGGUUUCUCUGAAGAAGAAGAAAUUCUGCCUGUGGACUCCGGCGUUGGCUUCUGCCCAAAUUUCCAGCCUCCAGUCUGCCCUCCAA